This 546-nucleotide long non-coding RNA is filed under the name Helianthus annuus (common sunflower). Lineage: Eukaryota; Viridiplantae; Streptophyta; Magnoliopsida; Asterales; Asteraceae. The record is from RNAcentral.
UUCUGAGUUGACACUUUUCAUUCAACAUGACCUCACCUUUCAUGUUUUUCCAAUCUGCAGCAUUACAAGGCCCACAGAUUCAGAAGUCGACCCCAAGUCACAAGACUGACUAGUUUCUUAAUUCGACCUGGUCUAUCCGCCACCCAUGCCAGGGGCCGUACAGAAGCAUGCUUCCGAUGUGGACAUUCCAGAGUUGCCACAGCCGCCACCACCAUCCGGGGCGCCUCAGUUUUCACAUCACGUUGUUCCAGGUCCUGACCCAGGAGCAACAGUGUAUCAACAGUUACAGGCUGAUGUCGACUGGCUUGCUUAUGCGUUGCAGUGGUUAGUUGAGGAGGCGCAGGAGCGACGACAGCGUGAGGGGUUACCUCCCCGACCGUACCAUCCAAGGGCCGUACAGAAGCAUGCUUCCGAUGUGGACAUUCCAGAGCUGCCACAGCCGCCACCACCGCCCGGGGCGCCUCAGUUUCCACAUCACGUUCCAGGUCCUGACCCAGGAGCAGCAUUAAGGGCUGAUGUUGGCUGGCAUGCUUAUGCGCUGCAGUG